UACAUGUGGGGCAAGCGUUGUUCGGAAUUACUGGGCAUAAAGGGUGCGUAGGCGGCUUGUUAAGUCAGGGGUGAAAGUUUUCGGCCCAACCGGAAAAUGGCCUUUGAUACUGGCGAGCUUGAGUGCGUGAGGGGUAACCGGAACGAGCAGUGUAGCGGUGAAAUGCGUAGAGAUUUGGAGGAACACCAGUGGCGAAGGCGACUUUCUGGUCUGUAACUGACACUGAGGCGCGAAAGCGUGGGGAGCAAACAGG
RNAcentral lists this ribosomal RNA (253 nucleotides) under uncultured bacterium. RNAcentral describes it as "partial 16S ribosomal RNA". It matches the Rfam family "Bacterial small subunit ribosomal RNA", at positions 524 to 776 of the family's 1533-position model. The record is from RNAcentral.